AGAGCUAUAGGUUAAAAAAACCGUUGGCCUUCAAAGCCGGCAUUGAUUUAUUUCUGGCUCUG
Molecule: transfer RNA, 62 nt
Filed under: Peronia peronii
Lineage: Eukaryota; Metazoa; Mollusca; Gastropoda; Systellommatophora; Onchidiidae
Description: tRNA-Trp
Source: RNAcentral